CCAGCAGUGAUGAAAAGCUGUGUAACCUCUCAUGGAGGACUUCUGCCCAGGAAGAACUACCUCUGAAGACAAGCACUGGCCUCUGUGUUAAGAGAAGUAAAACCAGUGUCCAUUUGGUUAAUGAACUAAGGAAUUGGGGGUUUUCUUUAACCAGUGGCAUUAUUUACCCUACUGAUACAGCCGCAUAAAAGACAGAGGCCAAGACUAUCCAACAAGAUGACCCCAGAGGAGACAGAAUUGAUUGACUGAAAGACAAGAGCCGUAGCUGAAUCCUAAGUCUCAUGUGUUUUAUUUCCUUUUGCUUUGAGACAAAAUCUUACUGUAUAAAGAAUUCAUUUAAUGAAUAAAAAAUUAUUUAGAUGAGAAUUCUGAGGAAAACUGAAAAUUGUCACAGACAAACAACAUACAGAUAGAAAAGAUUAAAGUGAAAAGCUAAACACAAUAAGGAAACUUGAAAAAUAAUUUCAUUAAAUUCUAUAAUAAUACAAAUAUAAAAUAGAAAAAUAAUAUUUUUCGAAAAUCAACUACAGAAAAUAGCAAUGCAGGUGCAAGUCACCUACAAAGGGUUGAGAAUCAUAGCAUCAACUGAAUUCUCAGUGACAGUGUGAUUAGCAGAAAUAAAUAGACUAAGGUUUUCCAUCAAACUACCAAAAAAAAACUUGUUUACACCCCUAUUCUAUACCUAAUCAAAAUAUUCAUCAAGCAUAAAGAUAGCAUAGAGUCAAUUUCACAUAUGUGGGGAUUGAAUUAUUCCUGAAACAAAUAUUAAUAUAGGUCCCACAACAAAAUAUAAUCUUCAAAAAGAAAAGGUAGACGUAAGAAACAAUGAUGCAAUGAGAAAUUUUUCAAAAUUCUAUUAACAGCAGUGAAUAUCUUAGGAAAAUGAUAUAUUUCAGACACUGCAAGAAUUGAAAUAUUAAAGAAGGUGAGCAAUCUUAGGCAGAAUGUGAGCCAAUGCUCCACCCCAGGACUUUGUCAGAGAGCUGUGAGUAUACCAGACACCAACAAAGACACCAAACUAUGCAUUGGCUCAAGCUUGUGUUGUCAGUACUGAUGGGCAAUCAUCAACACUGCCAACUGUGGGUGCCAAUGAUUAGUACUGUAUAACAUUCCCCCAGGCUUUGAGAUGACGACCUAGCAACCUGAUUACUGGUGACCCCCUUUUGUCACCAGAGAACCAAACCUAAUUUCAGUGCAUAUAUUUUAAAGGAGAAUUGUCUUUCCUUAUCUAUAGUGCUGCUGUAAGCAUCAAUAUCCUUGACGUUUUUUGACAAAAUAUCUUAUUUCAUAGUUUUAUGAUUUAUACCCACGGAAUGUUCAGUUAUCACAGGCUCCCUCUCAGAAGCAGCUUGAUGAAAGUAUGGAGUGGCCUGGCUAUGAAAAGUUUCCCCACAUGGCUGACCUGGAAGGCUAGAACAAUAUGCUAGAGUGUGUGACAUAUAUAUCAUCUUAGGAGAGACAUGUUGCCUUAUCUCUUCUUGCCGGAACACUGGAGGCUGAGAAAUCAAGGAGCAGAUCUAGGACUGAGCCUUUCACUGUUUUACCUUACAGACCAAUAAAGACUUUUCUUUCUUUUCAACACCUUGUUCCAUUUCUAUUCAUGGGAGAAUUGUUUCCACCGAGAAGAAAAGUCAUUGUUUCACUAAAUGGGAAGCUGAUACUGUCCUCUGACACUUAUGGUUGCUCACGAUGCUAAGACAACAAGCAACAAAGUUAGACAAAGGCUUGGAUUCUCAUGACCAUUUAUGAGUCUCGUGGCCACUCAUGGGAAAGUUGGUGGCUGUUGCACUAUGGAAGCAAGCAGAUUUUUUCCAAUAUUGCCCACUAUUCCUAGAUAAUAUGUCAUCAAUUCACAGGCUAGAAGUUCAAUGACAAUAUACUCAAAUCCUCUGAAAAUGAAGAUAUGAUUCAUUCUAACAAAGAACUCCAUCCAUGUGAGCUGCUUGAAGAAGAGAGAGAAAACUUAAUGGGAAAGCUCAGACACUUGCUUCUCCUGCCCCUGUGCUCCUGCUUCAUACAAAGCAACUCUAUUCAGCCAUGAAUCUGCAUGAAAGAGACCUUCUAAGAAAAUAUUAGGUGCUGGAACAAGCAGACCCCAAGCUGCACGACCAUAGUGAUGACUUAUGACUUGGUCAUGGAAAGUCCUAAAUGGUGGAUUUGGGUUGAUAGGAAUUACCUCUCUUUUUAAGGAAAACCUCAAAGACUCAAGAAUGGUUGCUGUUUUCAUAACUGCUAUUUAAAAGAAUAUAAUUUCCAAAAUCUUUCUGCUUAGUUGCAUCAUCGGGAAACAGAAAAUAAAACACAAAGUGCACUUGA
This is a long non-coding RNA of Mesocricetus auratus (golden hamster), 2316 nucleotides long. RefSeq lists it as uncharacterized. The transcript is spliced from 2 exons. The record is from RefSeq and is a predicted model, not a curated record. Lineage: Eukaryota; Metazoa; Chordata; Mammalia; Rodentia; Cricetidae.